Molecule: transfer RNA, 70 nt
Filed under: Holbrookia lacerata
Lineage: Eukaryota; Metazoa; Chordata; Lepidosauria; Squamata; Phrynosomatidae
Description: tRNA-Arg
Source: RNAcentral
UAGGCGUUAGUCUAAAUAAGACAGUUGAUUUCGACUCAACAGACUUGGAACCAAGCCUCCAAACACCUAC